CCCUUCUCCAGCAAGAGGCCUCUGAGCCCUGGGGUAGAGAGGUGAAAAGGAGGGAUGCGUCCUCCAGUGUCAGGAUCUGAGUCAAGGCCCCACUUCCAUGAGGAACAGAAGGGGAAUAGCACAAAAACCCAGGCUGAUCUUCCACUGUGGCACCUGUAACCAGCUCUGCUGUUGUUGUGUAAUCUCUAAGACACUGUCUGACUCUUUUGUGACCUCAUGGACUGCAGCCUGCCACCCUCCUCUGUCCAUGGGAUUCUCCAGGCAAGAACGAUAAGCGGGUUGCCAUUCCCUUCUCCAGGGGAUUUUCCUGACCCAGGGAUCGAACCAUGCCUCCUGCACUGGCAGAAUUUUUCUUCACCACGGAGCCACCAAGAAAGCCCAGGGAAGCAAGCUUAGCUAGUUUCUCCUGAUCUAUUAGCGGGAGCGGCAGCGUUACCUCCACCCAUGCUUCUGCCAGCACAGAGGGUCUCCAAGUGUGGCCUUAAGAGGCCUCCAGGCAGCCUGCCUGCUAAUUCAAAUGGAAAGUAUAGAAAAUGCCUUCUCUUCAAGUGCAAUCUCCAGAGCAGAUCUGAAUCUCUAUUCAAAAGGCCCAAAAUGAACAUUUUCAAAAUUAAUCCAUCUAUGAAAAAACAGGCCAGAGGACUUGAGAGAAAUCAGUUCCAGAAAAACUGGUUUUCCCGUCUGCAGCCUGGAGUGUGAGGACAGGCAGGUUGCAACCCUUCCCUGGACACUGCUUGCCAGCCUGUCUUCCAGGAAUUCCGUGCACAUGGCUUUCUAUGGCAGGGAAAGUGGGGGUUGUCUCACCAGCCACCCACCCCACCACCAAGGUGAUUUCUGGGAAUAUCCUGCCUAAAGAGACUUGGCUCAACAGUCACGGGAAGGACAUGUCAAGACCCGUUGGCCAUUUAUCACCCCAAGGACACUUGCUCUUGCUUCUGCCACUUUACUACGGGCAGGGUGUGGCAAACCGCCUAAGAAGCCUGUCCCCUCAUACCAGCCUGGGCAGCCAGCCUUCCUGAAGACUGCCAGGCCUAGCCUUUCUGGCUCAUGGACUGUAAGGGCUCGUCAUCCUCCAUCUCCACACCGAAGAAUCUGGAAAUCAGGCCCCACUCAGACACAGAGUGGCCAGAACACAGGCAGUGAGCCGGUGAAGCCUGAUUUAAGAUCCAGGUUCUGCCACUCAGAUGAAUUAGGCAAGUGACUUAAUCUCAUUGUGCAUCAGUUUUCUCAUUUGGGAUAUGGGGAUAAUGAUUCCUGCUUCAGAAAACCAGUCUGAGGCUUAAAUAUGUUUUAUAAAAGCAACUUGCAUGUGUGGAAAGGAGGCACCUGGUCCUCUAGCUGGGGUCCCCAACCUCCAGGAUCUAAGGCCUGAUCUGAGAUGGAGCUGAUGUAAUAAUAAUAGAGAUAAAGCAAACAAUAAAAGUAAUGCAUUUGAAUCAUCCCAAAACCAUCCUGCACACCCUGGUCCAUAGAAAAACUGUCUUCCACGAAAUCAGUCCCUGGUGCCAAAAAGGUUGGGGACUGCUG
Molecule: long non-coding RNA, 1527 nt
Filed under: Capra hircus (goat)
Lineage: Eukaryota; Metazoa; Chordata; Mammalia; Artiodactyla; Bovidae
Description: lncRNA (ENSCHIG00000002002.1)
Source: RNAcentral